AUCAAGCUGACGAAUCUCAAAUAGGAUGAAACGCGCGUCCUGGAU
RNAcentral lists this non-coding RNA (45 nucleotides) under Schistosoma mansoni. The record is from RNAcentral. Lineage: Eukaryota; Metazoa; Platyhelminthes; Trematoda; Strigeidida; Schistosomatidae.